Phrynosoma platyrhinos (Desert horned lizard) is the source of this 73-nucleotide non-coding RNA. Lineage: Eukaryota; Metazoa; Chordata; Lepidosauria; Squamata; Phrynosomatidae. The record is from the annotation of a GenBank genome assembly.
GCCAGUGUGGUGUAGUGGUUUGCUCAUUGGACUAGGACACUGCAAGACCAGGGUUCAAAUCUCUGUUCAGCCA